UUGUCCUGCAAAAGAAAAAAAUUCAUGGCAUGAAGUUUCUCAUUUAAAAAUUUUGAAGCAAAAAUAACUUCAGUUGUGCAUUCUUGCCUUAGGAAAGGGAAGGAAAACUGUGAAACAGGUUUGGAAAGAAAAAAUCUCUCUCUGGCCAGAGAAUAGACCUAGCAACACGGUUAUCUGGUAUCUGGCAUCAACUCGUCACCCUCCCUGAGCUGAUGCCAUCGUAUUCGAGGUUUCCUCGCACCAUCUUCAGCACCAGCUCUGCUUCCUGAGUCCCAAGAAGGAAGCCUGGGAGAUGGGAUUGCUAGAAUUCAGUUUCAUCUGCUAGUCUUCUGCCAGUUCUCUGCAGACUGCAAGAAAGAUGAACUUGCUUGUCCCUCUCCUUUGGGUGGGAUCCCAAGCACCAUGGCCACUUGAAGACCUUCAACUUUGGCAUCAACAUGCCCAAGGGCUCUUGCACAGCAUUUAAGGGCCUACAGACCAUGGAGGCUGAAGAGCGGGAGUCCUCCUGAGUCAGAGCAGGGAUAACAAGACUUUGCUGCGGGAAAUGAUUUUGCCCUUGGUGAUGGCCAUUUACCAUGAUUGCAGGUGACUCAGAGUGAGUGGAUGUUUGCACACAAAUUGGAACUCGAAGGAACUUCAGGUUCAAUCUCCAGCCUUUAGGACUUCAGGUAUGGCUAAAGAAUAACCUGUGGAAUCAGACACACCUGGAUUUGAAUGUGGGGAAGGGCCCUCCCACCCCAGCAAGGUGACACCAGUGCUGAAACUGAACGGCAAGAAGGAGCCCGCCAGGGACCUUUCUUGCAAAAGGAAGUCUUUAAGUCAUUUCUUAUACCAAUAAACUUUUCCUUCUGAGGACUUGUGACAUGACCUGAGGUGGAUAUUGCUCCGAAUUCUACAAGGAAUUCGAUUCAACGUUAUGAAGAUCUCUUGUCAUGGGGGUCAAUGAAGACAACCCACAUCCAAAACAAACAGGUGACCUGGAGAGGAAAAACUAACCUGACUGUCAGCACGAAGCCCAGGAUUACUAGUCCAAACAGUGCCUUUACGGCAGGUGGAUGUGAUUUGCCAGACAACUUUUAUUUCCUUGUGCCUUUCCGCAGCGGGCCUGUGGCUUAAGAAGGUGGCACGGCUGCUCUAUUGAGGCUGGGUUUGCAUUCCUGAUGACAUUUUCCAUCACCGACCGCCGGGCUG
Balaenoptera musculus (blue whale) is the source of this 1191-nucleotide long non-coding RNA. RefSeq lists it as uncharacterized. Lineage: Eukaryota; Metazoa; Chordata; Mammalia; Artiodactyla; Balaenopteridae. The transcript has 5 exons. The record is from RefSeq and is a predicted model, not a curated record.